This 496-nucleotide ribosomal RNA is filed under the name uncultured bacterium. RNAcentral's name for it is "partial 16S ribosomal RNA". It matches the Rfam family "Bacterial small subunit ribosomal RNA", at positions 29 to 507 of the family's 1533-position model. The record is from RNAcentral.
AUGAACGCUGGCGGCGUGCCUAAUACAUGCAAGUCGAGCGAACAGAUAAGGAGCUUGCUCCUUUGACGUUAGCGGCGGACGGGUGAGUAACACGUGGGUAACCUACCUAUAAGACUGGGAUAACUUCGGGAAACCGGAGCUAAUACCGGAUAACAUUUGGAACCGCAUGGUUCUAAAGUGAAAGAUGGUUUUGCUAUCACUUAUAGAUGGGCCCGCGCCGUAUUAGCUAGUUGGUAAGGUAACGGCUUACCAAGGCGACGAUACGUAGCCGACCUGAGAGGGUGAUCGGCCACACUGGAACUGAGACACGGUCCAGACUCCUACGGGAGGCAGCAGUAGGGAAUCUUCCGCAAUGGGCGAAAGCCUGACGGAGCAACGCCGCGUGAGUGAUGAAGGGUUUCGGCUCGUAAAACUCUGUUAUUAGGGAAGAACAAAUGUGUAAGUAACUGUGCACGUCUUGACGGUACCUAAUCAGAAAGCCACGGCUAACUACGUG